GUGGGGAAUAUUGGGCAAUGGGCGAAAGCCUGACCCAGCAACGCCGCGUGAGGGAAGAAGGUUUUCGGAUUGUAAACCUCUGUCCUUGGUGACGAACACAAUGACGGUAGCCAAGGAGGAAGCCCCGGCUAACUACGUGCCAGCAGCCGCGGUAAUACGUAGGGGGCAAGCGUUGUCCGGAAUGACUGGGCGUAAAGGGCGUGUAGGCGGCCGAUUAAGUCUGGAGUGAAAGUCCUGCUUUCAAGGUGGGAAUUGCUUUGGAGACUGGUUGGCUUGAGUGCGGAAGAGGCAAGUGGAAUUCCCAGUGUAGCGGUGAAAUGCGUAGAGAUUGGGAGGAACACCAGUGGCGAAGGCGACUUGCUGGGCCGUAACUGACGCUGAGGCGCGAAAGCGUGGGGAGCGAACAGGAUUAGAUACCCUUGUAGUCC
Molecule: ribosomal RNA, 428 nt
Filed under: uncultured bacterium
Lineage: Bacteria
Description: bacterial SSU rRNA
Rfam family: Bacterial small subunit ribosomal RNA
Source: RNAcentral